GACGAACGCUGGCGGCGUGCUUAACACAUGCAAGUCGAACGGUGAAGCGAGUGCUUGCACUCGUGGAUCAGUGGCGAACGGGUGAGUAACGCGUGAGUAACCUGCCCAUCACUCUGGGAUAAGCACUGGAAACGGUGUCUAAUACUGGAUACGACCAACCCUUGCAUGGGGUGUUGGUGGAAAGAUUUAUCGGUGAUGGAUGGACUCGCGGCCUAUCAGCUUGUUGGCGGGGUAAUGGCCCACCAAGGCGACGACGGGUAGCCGGCCUGAGAGGGUGACCGGCCACACUGGGACUGAGACACGGCCCAGACUCCUACGGGAGGCAGCAGUGGGGAAUAUUGCACAAUGGGCGAAAGCCUGAUGCAGCGACGCCGCGUGAGGGAUGACGGCCUUCGGGUUGUAAACCUCUUUCAGCAGGGAAGAAGCGAAAGUGACGGUACCUGCAGAAGAAGCACCGGCUAACUACGUG
This 469-nucleotide ribosomal RNA is filed under the name uncultured bacterium. RNAcentral describes it as "partial 16S ribosomal RNA". It matches the Rfam family "Bacterial small subunit ribosomal RNA", at positions 28 to 507 of the family's 1533-position model. The record is from RNAcentral.